GGGGGGGCCUAAAUGCAAGUCGAGCGAGCUUGCCUAGAUGAUUUUAGUGCUUGCACUAAAUGAAACUAGAUACAAGCGAGCGGCGGACGGGUGAGUAACACGUGGGUAACCUGCCCAACAGACUGGGAUAACACCUGGAAACAGAUGCUAAUACCGGAUAACAACACUAGACGCAUGUCUAGAGUUUGAAAGAUGGUUCUGCUAUCACUCUUGGAUGGACCUGCGGUGCAUUAGCUAGUUGGUAAGGUAACGGCUUACCAAGGCAAUGAUGCAUAGCCGAGUUGAGAGACUGAUCGGCCACAUUGGGACUGAGACACGGCCCAAACUCCUACGGGAGGCAGCAGUAGGGAAUCUUCCACAAUGGACGAAAGUCUGAUGGAGCAACGCCGCGUGAGUGAAGAAGGGUUUCGGCUCGUAAAGCUCUGUUGGUAGUGAAGAAAGAUAGAGGUAGUAACUGGCCUUUAUUUGACGGUAAUUACUUAGAAAGUCACGGCUAACUACGUGCCAGCAGCCGCGGUAAUACGUAGGUGGCAAGCGUUGUCCGGAUUUAUUGGGCAUAAAGCGAGUGCAGGCGGUUCAAUAAGUCUGAUGUGAAAGCCUUCGGCUCAACCGGAGAAUUGCAUCAGAAACUGUUGAACUUGAGUGCAGAAGAGGAGAGUGGAACUCCAUGUGUAGCGGUGGAAUGCGUAGAUAUAUGGAAGAACACCAGUGGCGAAGGCGGCUCUCUGGUCUGCAACUGACGCUGAGGCUCGAAAGCAUGGGUAGCGAACAGGAUUAGAUACCCUGGUAGUCCAUGCCGUAAACGAUGAGUGCUAAGUGUUGGGAGGUUUCCGCCUCUCAGUGCUGCAGC
Molecule: ribosomal RNA, 850 nt
Filed under: uncultured bacterium
Lineage: Bacteria
Description: bacterial SSU rRNA
Rfam family: Bacterial small subunit ribosomal RNA
Source: RNAcentral